RNAcentral lists this ribosomal RNA (253 nucleotides) under uncultured bacterium. RNAcentral describes it as "partial 16S ribosomal RNA". It matches the Rfam family "Bacterial small subunit ribosomal RNA", at positions 524 to 776 of the family's 1533-position model. The record is from RNAcentral.
UACAGAGGAUGCAAGCGUUAUCCGGAAUGAUUGGGCGUAAAGCGUCUGUAGGUGGCUUUUUAAGUCCGCCGUCAAAUCCCAGGGCUCAACUCUGGACAGGCGGUGGAAACUACCAAGCUGGAGUACGGUAGGGGCAGAGGGAAUUUCCGGUGGAGCGGUGAAAUGCGUAGAGAUCGGGAAGAACACCGACGGCGAAGGCGCUCUGCUGGGCCGACACUGACACUGAGAGACGAAAGCUAGGGGAGCAAAUGGG